CACGCGGAGGAGGAACCAGGGCAG
Molecule: non-coding RNA, 24 nt
Filed under: Cricetulus griseus (Chinese hamster)
Lineage: Eukaryota; Metazoa; Chordata; Mammalia; Rodentia; Cricetidae
Source: RNAcentral